UGGAAACUGACUUCCUUGACCUUGGUUUCCCAGUCUCUGGGUCCUGACAGCUACAACAGAUGAGAAAACUGAUAAGCAAAGCAAGAUGUGACUUGCUCAAGAUUCAGCAGUUGACUGGUGACCAAGUUGAAUGGACGACUUGAAGGGCUCUUUUGGACACACCACCAUCAUGAUAUUAUUCCUCUUCCAAGAGAGAUUUAAAAUACUCAUUUUUUGCCACCAUAUGCAAAGAAUGACUGGUCCUGCACAGAGGAAGCAGACAAACAAGAACACAGCCAGCAUCUCCUGGAAGGCUCUUCAUCACACAGUAAUUGAUACAUCUCCAACAAGUGGCUCUCCAGGAAAUCAAUUCUGACAGGUGAAGAAAUGGAGACACAGAGAGGUUAAGUAACUUGCCCAUGUGCACACAGCUAGUGACAAAUGGCAUUAGAAAACAG
Heterocephalus glaber (naked mole-rat) is the source of this 437-nucleotide long non-coding RNA. NCBI's taxonomy places the organism in Eukaryota, Metazoa, Chordata, Mammalia, Rodentia, Bathyergidae. The record is from Ensembl.